RNAcentral lists this ribosomal RNA (269 nucleotides) under uncultured bacterium. RNAcentral's name for it is "partial small subunit ribosomal RNA". It matches the Rfam family "Bacterial small subunit ribosomal RNA", at positions 26 to 281 of the family's 1533-position model. The record is from RNAcentral.
AGAAUCAACGCUGGCGGCGUGCCUAACACAUGCAAGUCGAACGCGACUGGGGGCUUCGGCUCCCAGUUGAGUGGCGAACGGGUGAGUAACACGUGGGUGAUCUACCUUCGAGCGGGGGAUAACGUUCCGAAAGGAACGCUAAUACCGCAUGACGUUCUGGGUUUAAAGACCUGGAAACCAAAGCCGGGGACCGCAAGGCCUGGCACUUGAAUAGGAGCCCGCGUCCGAUUAGCUAGUUGGCGGGGUAACGGCCCACCAAGGCGACGAUC